UAACUGAAGAGUUUGAUCAUGGCUCAGAUUGAACGCUGGCGGCAGGCUUAACACAUGCAAGUCGAGCGGGGGAAGGUAGCUUGCUACUGGACCUAGCGGCGGACGGGUGAGUAAUGCUUAGGAAUCUGCCUAUUAGUGGGGGACAACAUCUCGAAAGGGAUGCUAAUACCGCAUACGUCCUACGGGAGAAAGCAGGGGAUCUUCGGACCUUGCGCUAAUAGAUGAGCCUAAGUCGGAUUAGCUAGUUGGUGGGGUAAAGGCCUACCAAGGCGACGAUCUGUAGCGGGUCUGAGAGGAUGAUCCGCCACACUGGGACUGAGACACGGCCCAGACUCCUACGGGAGGCAGCAGUGGGGAAUAUUGGACAAUGGGGGGAACCCUGAUCCAGCCAUGCCGCGUGUGUGAAGAAGGCCUUAUGGUUGUAAAGCACUUUAAGCGAGGAGGAGGCUACUUUAGUUAAUACCUAGAGAUAGUGGACGUUACUCGCAGAAUAAGCACCGGCUAACUCUGUGCCAGCAGCCGCGGUAAUACAGAGGGUGCGAGCGUUAAUCGGAUUUACUGGGCGUAAAGCGUGCGUAGG
Molecule: ribosomal RNA, 580 nt
Filed under: Acinetobacter baumannii
Lineage: Bacteria; Pseudomonadati; Pseudomonadota; Gammaproteobacteria; Moraxellales; Moraxellaceae
Description: bacterial SSU rRNA
Rfam family: Bacterial small subunit ribosomal RNA
Source: RNAcentral